UUUAAGUGUAACUAUGAGCUUUUUGUCCAAUUUGAAUCGUCUGUCUUAUUUAAAAUUUUUUUUAUAAUUAGUAUUUUUGUUGUUAGGAGAUGAUAAAACAUGAAAGUACUUUACUCAUGACUUAUGUUUAAAAUUUUUUUAAAAAAAAUUUUAAAUAAAAUCAUAGGUGCAUUUAAAAUGGGAUAGAUUGACCGGAG
Molecule: microRNA precursor, 197 nt
Filed under: Oryza sativa Indica Group (long-grained rice)
Lineage: Eukaryota; Viridiplantae; Streptophyta; Magnoliopsida; Poales; Poaceae
Description: MIR812 microRNA precursor family
Source: Rfam by way of RNAcentral